UUGACCUCAAAUCAGGUAGGACUACCCGCUGAACUUAAGMAUAUCAAUAAGCGGAGGAAAAGAAACYAACAA
This 72-nucleotide ribosomal RNA is filed under the name Xanthoporia andersonii. RNAcentral describes it as "partial 28S ribosomal RNA". It matches the Rfam family "Eukaryotic large subunit ribosomal RNA", at positions 1 to 71 of the family's 3401-position model. Lineage: Eukaryota; Fungi; Basidiomycota; Agaricomycetes; Hymenochaetales; Hymenochaetaceae. The record is from RNAcentral.